AAUUAACAAGGAGGGGCCUGUAACUCUAAGAUGGUUUCUUCAGUAAUGACUAUUUUCUUUUACAAGACGUGAGUAUUCUCUACCUUCUAAGAGACCAGCAUUGCUCAUCAAUGCUGAGCAAUGGAAAGUGAAGGUGUUCAGUUUUGGCUGCAGUGCAGUGGCACAAUCUUAGCUCACUGCAACCUCUGCCUCUCAGAUUCAGGCCAUCUUCCCUAGGGACUGGAGAUGGAGUCUUGCUUUGUCACCAAGUCUGGAGUGCAAUGCUAUGAUCCAGGCUCACUGUAACUUCUGCCUCCUGAGUUCCAGCAACUCUCCU
RNAcentral lists this long non-coding RNA (316 nucleotides) under Callithrix jacchus (white-tufted-ear marmoset). RNAcentral describes it as "lncRNA (ENSCJAG00000078330.1)". The record is from RNAcentral. Lineage: Eukaryota; Metazoa; Chordata; Mammalia; Primates; Cebidae.